GACGAACGCUGGCGGCGGGCUUAACACAUGCAAGUCGAACGGAAAGGCGCUGCUUUUGUGGGGUGCUCGAGUGGCGAACGGGUGAGUAACACGUGAGUAACCUGCCCUUUACUUUGGGAUAACUUCAGGAAACUGGGGCUCAUACCGGAUAGGAGCUGCUGCUGCAUGGGGGGGGUUGGAAAGUUUCGGCGGGUGGGGAUGGACUCGCGGCUUACCAGCCUGUAGGUGGGGUAGUGGCUUACCAAGGCUUAGGCGGGUAGCCGGUCUGAGAGGGGGACCGGCCACAUGGGGACUGAGAUACGGCCCAGAGUACUACGGGAGGCAGGAGUGGGGAAUAUUGCACGAUGGGCGGAAGCCUGAUGCAGCAACGCCGCGUGCGGGAUGAUGGCCUUCGGGUUGUAAACCGCUUUCGCCUGUGACGAAGCGUGAGUGACGGUAAUGGAUAAAGAAGCACCGGCUAACUACGUG
RNAcentral lists this ribosomal RNA (468 nucleotides) under uncultured bacterium. Its description in RNAcentral is "partial 16S ribosomal RNA". It matches the Rfam family "Bacterial small subunit ribosomal RNA", at positions 28 to 507 of the family's 1533-position model. The record is from RNAcentral.